GCAUAUCAUAAGCGGAGGAAAAGAAACCAACAGGGAUUGCCUCAGUAACGGCGAAGUGAAGCGGCAAGAGCUCAAAUUUGAAAGCUGGCCCCUUCGGGGUCCGCGUUGUAAUUUGCAGAGGAUGCUUCGGGUGCAGCCCCCGUCUAAGUGCCCUGGAACGGGCCGUCAUAGAGGGUGAGAAUCCCGUCUGGGACGGGGUGUCUGCGUCCGUGUGAAGCUCCUUCGACGAGUCGAGUUGUUUGGGAAUGCAGCUCUAAAUGGGUGGUAAAUUUCAUCUAAAGCUAAAUACUGGCCGGAGACCGAUAGCGCACAAGUAGAGUGAUCGAAAGAUGAAAAGCACUUUGAAAAGAGAGUUAAACAGCACGUGAAAUUGUUGAAAGGGAAGCGUUUGCGACCAGACUCGCCCGCGGGGUUCAGCCGGCAUUCGUGCCGGUGUACUUCCCCGUGGGCGGGCCAGCGUCGGUUUGGGCGGCCGGUCAAAGGCCCUCGGAAUGUAUCACCUCUCGGGGUGUCUUAUAGCCGAGGGUGCAAUGCGGCCUGCCUGGACCGAGGAACGCGCUUCGGCUCGGACGCUGGCGUAAUGGUCGUAAAUGACCCGUCUUGAAACACGGACCAAGGAGUCUAACAUCUACGCGAGUGUUCGGGUGUCAAACCCGUACGCGCAGUGAAAGCGAACGGAGGUGGGAGCCCCCUCGCGGGGCGCACCAUCGACCGAUCCUGAUGUCUUCGGAUGGAUUUGAGUACGAGCGUAGCUGUGGGGACCCGAAAGAUGGUGAACUAUGCCUGAAUAGGGCGAAGCCAGAGGAAACUCUGGUGGAGGCUCGCAGCGGUUUCUGACGUGCAAAUCGAUUCGUCAAAUUUGGGUAUAGGGGCGAAAGACUAAUCGA
This 887-nucleotide ribosomal RNA is filed under the name Aspergillus fumigatus. RNAcentral describes it as "LSU rRNA". It matches the Rfam family "Eukaryotic large subunit ribosomal RNA", at positions 38 to 938 of the family's 3401-position model. Lineage: Eukaryota; Fungi; Ascomycota; Eurotiomycetes; Eurotiales; Aspergillaceae. The record is from RNAcentral.